CCCUUGGCCAGCAAGAACAACCCAGUCGUACAAGCUUUGGUAAUGCAGUUAUCUCUACGUGUCAGCUUACCUGAAUCGUUAGUGUUUCAUCUGCCUGACAGCUAUUGGUGUAUGGCGCACAAAUGCAGGUAAAAAUAGUCACUGAGUGCCAGGGUGUUUGGUGAACCAGGUUUAUUAAAGGGACACUGUUGUCACCAGAACAACUUCAGUUUAAUGCAGUUGUUCAGAAAAAAAGGCAAUGUUUACAUUGCCUACUAGGGACACCUCCAGUGGUCACUCCUCAGAUGGCCACUGGAGGUUCUUCCUGGGGCAUGCUCUUCAUGGAGUCACUGAACUCUCCCCAUUGAGAUGCAUUGGUUCAAACUUUUUGAUUAAUAAAACCGUUUUCAUGUAUAGAUCAUACCCCUGCAGACUAACCAGUCUGUUUUAUUUUCUUCCAUUUAGGAGUUAAAUCAUGUUGUUUAUUCAGUCCUAGCCACACCUCCUCUGCAUGUGAUCUACACAGAUUCCCUACACAUUUCCUGUCAAGAGAGAUCUACUGUUUAAACUUCCUUUAUCACACAGUCUGUUUGAUUUAGAACCUCCUGUGUGUGAUUAAAGUUCCAUUAACCGUGCAGGAGAUAAAAACUUCUAAAGUAAACACCCUGUUAGAUCUAAAUUGAAAAUGAAACAAUUUUUUCAAGCAGGUUAUAUGAGUCACAGGCAGGGAAGGAGUGACUAGGGUUGAAUAAACAAAAACAUAAGUGAUUUAACUCUGAAUUGCAGAGAAAUGAGCAGUGAGACUGCAGGGCCAUGGUCUAUACACCAAAACUGCUUCAUUAGGCUAAAAUAUUUUGAUGCUUAGAGUGUCCCUUUAAACCAUUUAAAUACAUAUGAUUGCAUGAGCCAAACUGGUGCACUCAAUUAAUUUUGUGUUUUCUUGUCUUAUUUCCAUAAAGGAGCGGUCCCUAAAUCACAUGUAGACGGGCACCUUUAACAUGUCCCAUUUGACAUAAGGAGACAAUCACAAUUUGGACUUCAGAUAUCUUCAAAGGAGACAAUAAUGGUUGCUUGCAAGAUGCCUGAAUGCAAGGAGCACAAUUGGCAACCUUUGAAUAACUUUUGCAAAAGAGAUCUGAAGUUUAUCUGUGGAAAUUGUGCUACCAGUGGAGACCACAAAAAAUUUAGAAUUUUCCACCAUUGAUGAAGCUUACAUCCAGGAGAAAUGCUCCUUUCAGGCACUGCUGAAGGGAUUGGAUAAUCGCCCACCUUAGAU
Non-coding RNA from Pelobates cultripes (western spadefoot toad), 1255 nucleotides. The record is from the annotation of a GenBank genome assembly. Lineage: Eukaryota; Metazoa; Chordata; Amphibia; Anura; Pelobatidae.